CAAAAAUUGAUUAUUUUUACAAAAGGAGUUUUCAAUAAUUGCACAUCAAAAAAUGAGCAAUGUUGCUAAUUCUUACAAAGUUGAUCACAUUCGGAUCUACUACUCAAGUUUGACUACAAAUCAAAAUUCUGCUUCUAAAAAUUUAAUAACUAAGAACAGGGUAUUGUUCUUUUCUUAGAAAGGUGGUAUACGUUGUGUUUUCUUGAUAAAUUUCUCCAAAAGUUUUAAGGCCAGGCCCAUUGUUUCGUGCGAGUUAGUCGCUAACAAUUAAAAGAGAUCAGACGAUUGUGUAAGGGACAAACCUCUUGAAACAAAGUCCCAAAAAGGGGUGUUCUUUAUUGGCGAUAACUUUACAAUCGGAAAUUAAAAACAGAAUGCCUUAAAGGGGCGCAAGCACACGAGUUACUGAAAAAAGUGUUUAAAUAUAAGUUAAGAAAUUUAAAAUUACAUGUUCUCUGUUCGAGAGUUUUUGAUUCGGUCUUUUGUUCUAUGUCUUUUCUUCCUUUUAUACUCCUUGGAUGAUCUUUUUGUGAUCAAUCGCCUAAAAACUGCUUGAUCGUUCUACAACUGCCCGCUUUCCUCGUAAUGGCUAACUUGUC
Molecule: long non-coding RNA, 599 nt
Filed under: Olea europaea subsp. europaea
Lineage: Eukaryota; Viridiplantae; Streptophyta; Magnoliopsida; Lamiales; Oleaceae
Source: RNAcentral